This 758-nucleotide ribosomal RNA is filed under the name uncultured Actinomyces sp. RNAcentral describes it as "bacterial SSU rRNA". It matches the Rfam family "Bacterial small subunit ribosomal RNA", at positions 28 to 776 of the family's 1533-position model. The record is from RNAcentral. Lineage: Bacteria; Bacillati; Actinomycetota; Actinomycetes; Actinomycetales; Actinomycetaceae.
GACGAACGCUGGCGGCGUGCUUAACACAUGCAAGUCGAACGAAAAUACCAAGCUUGCUUGGUUGAUUAGUGGCGAACGGGUGAGUAACACGUGAGUAACCUGCCCCUUACUUUCCUGGAUAACUGCUCGAAAGGGUAGCUAAUACGGGAUAUUCUGGCCUUCCUGCAUGGGUUGGUUUGGAAAGGUUGUUUUUCUGGUAAGGGAUGGGCUCGCGGCCUAUCAGCUUGUUGGUGGGGUGAUGGCCUACCAAGGCUUUGACGGGUAGCCGGCCUGAGAGGGUGGACGGUCACACUGGGACUGAGAUACGGCCCAGACUCCUACGGGAGGCAGCAGUGGGGAAUAUUGCACAAUGGGCGCAAGCCUGAUGCAGCGACGCCGCGUGAGGGAUGGAGGCCUUCGGGUUGUAAACCUCUUUCGUCAGGGAGCAAGGCAUUGCCUUUUUUGGUGGUGUUGAGGGUACCUGGAUAAGAAGCGCCGGCUAACUACGUGCCAGCAGCCGCGGUAAUACGUAGGGCGCAAGCGUUGUCCGGAAUUAUUGGGCGUAAAGAGCUCGUAGGCGGCUGGUCGCGUCUGUCGUGAAAACUUCCGGCUCAACCGGGGGCUUGCGGUGGGUACGGGCCGGCUAGAGUGCGGUAGGGGUAACUGGAACUCCUGGUGUAGCGGUGGAAUGCGCAGAUAUCAGGAAGAACACCGAUGGCGAAAGCAGGUUACUGGGCCGUUACUGACGCUGAGGAGCGAAAGCGUGGGGAGCGAACAGG